RNAcentral lists this unclassified non-coding RNA (335 nucleotides) under soil metagenome. RNAcentral describes it as "partial contains 5.8S ribosomal RNA, internal transcribed spacer 2, and large subunit ribosomal RNA". The stretch from base 4 to 119 matches the Rfam family "5.8S ribosomal RNA", at positions 39 to 154 of the family's 154-position model. The record is from RNAcentral.
GAUAAGAACGUAGCGAAAUGCGAUAAGUAGUGUGAAUUGCAGAAUUCAGUGAAUCAUCGAAUCUUUGAACGCACAUUGCGCCCCUUGGUAUUCCAUGGGGCAUGCCUGUUCGAGCGUCAUUUACACCCUCAAGCUCCGCUUGGUGUUGGGCGUCUGUCCCGCUUCGUGCGCGGACUCGCCCCAAAGGCAUUGGCAGCGGUCCUUGCCAGCUUCUCGCGCAGCACAUUGCGCUUCUCGAGGCUGGCGGAUCGGCGUCCAUCAAGCCCACUUCCACAGUUUGACCUCGGAUCAGGUAGGGAUACCCGCUGAACUUAAGCAUAUCAAUAAGCGGAGGA